UUUGUCUAUCAGGUCUUGACCCACAAGAUAACCAUUCCACCAGCACCUCUGACGUACCAGUGACUGGCGCUGCCAAAACAGAUCCUUAUCACUAUCUGACGCAACAGCAUUUCACCUCGGAGAUCUUCAAGAUUGAGAUCCAAAACCUCCCAAGAUAUUUUGGAUUUGCGCUGCUAAGAAGAUAAGAAGGAGGCAUUGAAAGUACUCAACGGACACAAAUGGAAAGGACAAGUGCUCAAAGCCAAGCUCGCCAAGCCAGUUUAGGACCCGGACACUAAGAGCCUCGCUCUGAAGAGAAGCCAAGAGGAAUCUGAUGGAAACACCCAAGAAGCUAAGAGGAGGAAGGAGGAGGACAGCUGACCAGUAGAAGAGAGGUUAAACAACACGGUGACUCCACUGUGGAACCAGCCGUAUGAGGACCAGCUAUCCACCAAACAGACCAACACCAGGGAGUUUCUGAGGAAUUUAUCCAAGAUGCUGCAACGGAACAUUGGGGAGAUGUCUCCCUGGCUGAAGCAACAAAGAUAACACUGCUGGUUUCCGGCUUCGUGCUUACAAAGGUCUUGACCCACAAGAUAACCAUUCC
Long non-coding RNA from Patiria miniata (bat star), 586 nucleotides. RefSeq lists it as uncharacterized. NCBI's taxonomy places the organism in Eukaryota, Metazoa, Echinodermata, Asteroidea, Valvatida, Asterinidae. The transcript is spliced from 6 exons. The record is from RefSeq and is a predicted model, not a curated record.